This 435-nucleotide ribosomal RNA is filed under the name Shinella sp. CL2.30. RNAcentral describes it as "bacterial SSU rRNA". It matches the Rfam family "Bacterial small subunit ribosomal RNA", at positions 17 to 500 of the family's 1533-position model. The record is from RNAcentral. Lineage: Bacteria; Pseudomonadati; Pseudomonadota; Alphaproteobacteria; Hyphomicrobiales; Rhizobiaceae.
CCCUGGCUCAGAACGAACGCUGGCGGCAGGCUUAACACAUGCAAGUCGAGCGCCCCGCAAGGGGAGCGGCAGACGGGUGAGUAACGCGUGGGAAUCUACCCAACUCUACGGAAUAACUCAGGGAAACUUGUGCUAAUACCGUAUACGCCCUUCGGGGGAAAGAUUUAUCGGAGUUGGAUGAGCCCGCGUUGGAUUAGCUAGUUGGUGGGGUAAAGGCCUACCAAGGCGACGAUCCAUAGCUGGUCUGAGAGGAUGAUCAGCCACAUUGGGACUGAGACACGGCCCAAACUCCUACGGGAGGCAGCAGUGGGGAAUAUUGGACAAUGGGCGCAAGCCUGAUCCAGCCAUGCCGCGUGUGUGAUGAAGGCCUUAGGGUUGUAAAGCACUUUCACCGGAGAAGAUAAUGACGGUAUCCCGGAGAAGAAGCCCGGCUAA